Molecule: long non-coding RNA, 838 nt
Organism: Cebus imitator (Panamanian white-faced capuchin)
Lineage: Eukaryota; Metazoa; Chordata; Mammalia; Primates; Cebidae
Exons: 3
Source: RefSeq, a predicted model, not a curated record
UUCCAGGGCAGCCCACAGAGUUCUGAGCAUGUGCUGGCAGUUGCUCUGUAGAGUGCCCAGUUCACUUCUCCCAUGUAGUUCCUAAGUGCAGGACUCUACUGAAGGGGCUUAUAAAUGAAUCUUGUCCCAAUCGUUCCCAGAAGCCAUGACAUGUCCCUGCAGCUGGAGGCCUUUCAAGGGUAGCAUAGGAGGCCUCACAGGCCCUGUGGCCUGUAAAGGAAGUGAAAAACUGUUCUCAAGGAAAGAUCCAAAGGGUUCAAAGGUGAAGGGUGCCAUCUGCUUCUUCACUGAUUCAGAAGAUAAGGAGAAGAAGUGUCCCAUUUCACCCAUAUUCCUGACCCCGAUUUUCAAGUCUUCCUAACCCAAAGCUCUUCCAUUGGCCAUCAUGGAGUUAGCUAACAGCCCAGGGAACCGGUCUCUUUCCCUUUUCCCCUUAUCACCAGGCACUCAACUGGAAAUGGCAAUCAGAUGGCUCUAUAUCAGACCCCACCACCUGGUCUUUGAAGUUUCUGUCCUACAAGUGCCACAGCUCCCCUCCCCCACUUCUGCGCUACUCCCAAGAGAGACCCAUCCUCAGCAGCCUAGUAUGUGAUGCUAGUCCUGGAAUGCGGUAUUCUGGAUGUCUACUGAAGGCCAAACUCCAAUUAUUGACUUUUUUCCCUUUAUUCAAGACCAAUGCUAGGUUCUUUUCAUUGUCUCCAUUUCUCUUUCUCUAGAGCUCCUGGAGGGCAAGACACUGUUUCUCAUACAUUUCUGGAUCCUUGGAGCUUAGUUCAGAGCUUGGCAUAGAUGCUCAGCAUGAGCUUUCCUGAAUAAAGUAAUUUCAAAUGCCACAUAC